GUGUAGCACAGUGGUAAGGAGCAGGGCUUGUAACCAAAAGGUUGCUGGUUCAAUUCCAGCUGUAUA
This 66-nucleotide transfer RNA is filed under the name Megalops atlanticus (tarpon). RNAcentral's name for it is "tRNA-OTHER". Lineage: Eukaryota; Metazoa; Chordata; Actinopteri; Elopiformes; Megalopidae. The record is from RNAcentral.